RNAcentral lists this small RNA (188 nucleotides) under Gopherus agassizii (Agassiz's desert tortoise). Its description in RNAcentral is "TUC338 (ENSGAGG00000015476.1)". The record is from RNAcentral. Lineage: Eukaryota; Metazoa; Chordata; Testudines; Testudinidae.
UUAGAAGCACUGAAGAAUGAAAUCUUCUAUCCACCGAAUAGAUUCAGUACAGGUAGCAGCAGUGCAAGCUUACUACACUGCCCUGCCAAUGUGCACCAAACCUAUUCAGAAAAAAAACCCAAAAAAGCCCCACUUCUUGACAUGCGAGAGUACUUUACCUCUUUUAUGAGGCCAACAACGUGACAGUG